GUCAAUUAUUCAUAAGAAAAAUAUACAUAAUCAACAUACUUUAUAUUGUAAAAGUUUCUAACACUGUUACACACUCAGCAGGGAUGAAUCAUGAACUGUUCCAUAUUCAUGAUUAUGGGCGGAGCUACAGCAUCUUUUAUCAAGAGUAAAAGAGACUUCAGUGAAAGUGAAAUUAACAGAUGAACUGAAAGCUUCAAACAGCACUUCAUUUCAGUAACUCUGAAAUCAACGACCAGAUCUGAUAUUCACUCUCAGUCAUGGCAUCCUCCAGUGGUUCAGCACUAAAUAAGGAGCUCCAGUGCUCCAUCUGUCUGGAAGUGUUCACUGAUCCAGUCACCACUCCAUGUGGACACAACUUCUGCAGAUCCUGCCUGAGCAAGUGCUGGACGAACACUUGGACCUGCUUCUGUCCACUCUGUAAUGAAAGAUUCAGCAUACGACCUGAUCUCAAGAUUAAUACAACACUCAGAGAGGUUGUGCAAUACUUUAAGACUCGCACCUCCAAUGACAGUUUCACUAUUUCAUCUGAAACCGUCCACAUGAUUAUUGGUGUGGGUGUCCUGUUGAUAGCAGCGUUGAUCAUCUUGUCUACACAAUACACCCCAGUGGAACCAGGACAACACAAACCUCAAGGAGGGAUGAAGAAAACCUGUGCUCUGCAGUUCCAAGACUCCUCGUGUACCUAUUAUAUUAUAUAUAAUAUAUUAUAUGUGAUAUUUAUUAUUACAUAUCAUAUCAUUAUAUUAAUAUACAACUUUUAUUAUUAUUUGAUUGCACUGUCCAUUGCAUUAUUGUCGAAAUUCUUGAGUUUUUUUGAAAAUAUAUUUAUAUUAUGAUUAUUGUAAAUUUUAUGUAACACUACUGUUAAAUCAUCAAGACCUGGGUUUCAGCAAUUGAUGGUGAGUAAGCUGGGUUUUCUCUGGAAAGUUAUAAUCUGCUGGCGGUGCCUCCAAAAAUGUGUCAACUAUACACCAAGAAAAUAGAUUAUGUACACUGUUCUCCUAAUUAAAUAAAAUGAAUUUCUCUAUUUGC
Long non-coding RNA from Megalobrama amblycephala (Wuchang bream), 1032 nucleotides. RefSeq lists it as uncharacterized. The transcript is spliced from 4 exons. NCBI's taxonomy places the organism in Eukaryota, Metazoa, Chordata, Actinopteri, Cypriniformes, Xenocyprididae. The record is from RefSeq and is a predicted model, not a curated record.